AAACUGAAGAGUUUGAUCAUGGCUCAGAUUGAACGCUGGCGGCAUGCCUAACACAUGCAAGUCGAACGGUAACAGGCCUUCGGG
RNAcentral lists this ribosomal RNA (84 nucleotides) under Methylococcaceae bacterium. RNAcentral's name for it is "partial 16S ribosomal RNA". It matches the Rfam family "Bacterial small subunit ribosomal RNA", at positions 1 to 84 of the family's 1533-position model. Lineage: Bacteria; Pseudomonadati; Pseudomonadota; Gammaproteobacteria; Methylococcales; Methylococcaceae. The record is from RNAcentral.